UUAAAUUGAAGAGUUUGAUCAUGGCUCAGAUUGAACGCUGGCGGCAGGCCUAACACAUGCAAGUCGAACGGUAACAGGAAACAGCUUGCUGUUUCGCUGACGAGUGGCGGACGGGUGAGUAAUGUCUGGGAAACUGCCUGAUGGAGGGGGAUAACUACUGGAAACGGUAGCUAAUACCGCAUAACGUCGCAAGACCAAAGAGGGGGACCUUCGGGCCUCUUGCCAUCGGAUGUGCCCAGAUGGGAUUAGCUUGUUGGUGGGGUAACGGCUCACCAAGGCGACGAUCCCUAGCUGGUCUGAGAGGAUGACCAGCCACACUGGAACUGAGACACGGUCCAGACUCCUACGGGAGGCAGCAGUGGGGAAUAUUGCACAAUGGGCGCAAGCCUGAUGCAGCCAUGCCGCGUGUAUGAAGAAGGCCUUCGGGUUGUAAAGUACUUUCAGCGGGGAGGAAGGGAGUAAAGUUAAUACCUUUGCUCAUUGACGUUACCCGCAGAAGAAGCACCGGCUAACUCCGUGCCAGCAGCCGCGGUAAUACGGAGGGUGCAAGCGUUAAUCGGAAUUACUGGGCGUAAAGCGCACGCAGGCGGUUUGUUAAGUCAGAUGUGAAAUCCCCGGGCUCAACCUGGGAACUGCAUCUGAUACUGGCAAGCUUGAGUCUCGUAGAGGGGGGGAGAAUUCCAGGUGUAGCGGUGAAAUGCGUAGAGAUCUGGAGGAAUACCGGUGGCGAAGGCGGCCCCCUGGACGAAGACUGACGCUCAGGUGCGAAAGCGUGGGGAGCAAACAGGAUUAGAUACCCUGGUAGUCCACGCCGUAAACGAUGUCGACUUGGAGGUUGUGCCCUUGAGGCGUGGCUUCCGGAGCUAACGCGUUAAGUCGACCGCCUGGGGAGUACGGCCGCAAGGUUAAAACUCAAAUGAAUUGACGGGGGCCCGCACAAGCGGUGGAGCAUGUGGUUUAAUUCGAUGCAACGCGAAGAACCUUACCUGGUCUUGACAUCCACGGAAGUUUUCAGAGAUGAGAAUGUGCCUUCGGGAACCGUGAGACAGGUGCUGCAUGGCUGUCGUCAGCUCGUGUUGUGAAAUGUUGGGUUAAGUCCCGCAACGAGCGCAACCCUUAUCCUUUGUUGCCAGCGGUCCGGCCGGGAACUCAAAGGAGACUGCCAGUGAUAAACUGGAGGAAGGUGGGGAUGACGUCAAGUCAUCAUGGCCCUUACGACCAGGGCUACACACGUGCUACAAUGGCGCAUACAAAGAGAAGCGACCUCGCGAGAGCAAGCGGACCUCAUAAAGUGCGUCGUAGUCCGGAUUGGAGUCUGCAACUCGACUCCAUGAAGUCGGAAUCGCUAGUAAUCGUGGAUCAGAAUGCCACGGUGAAUACGUUCCCGGGCCUUGUACACACCGCCCGUCACACCAUGGGAGUGGGUUGCAAAAGAAGUAGGUAGCUUAACCUUCGGGAGGGCGCUUACCACUUUGUAAUUCAUGACUGGGGUGAAGUCGUAACAAGGUAACCGUAGGGGAACCUGCGGUUGGAUCACCUCCUUACCUUAAAGAAGC
Molecule: ribosomal RNA, 1556 nt
Filed under: Escherichia coli
Lineage: Bacteria; Pseudomonadati; Pseudomonadota; Gammaproteobacteria; Enterobacterales; Enterobacteriaceae
Description: bacterial SSU rRNA
Rfam family: Bacterial small subunit ribosomal RNA
Source: RNAcentral